This 446-nucleotide ribosomal RNA is filed under the name uncultured bacterium. RNAcentral describes it as "partial 16S ribosomal RNA". It matches the Rfam family "Bacterial small subunit ribosomal RNA", at positions 354 to 796 of the family's 1533-position model. The record is from RNAcentral.
GUAAGGAAUAUUGGUCAAUGGGGGCAACCCUGAACCAGCCAUGCCGCGUGAAGGAUGAAGGCGUUAUGCGUUGUAAACUUCUUUUGUAUGGGAAGAAUGACAGGGAUUCAUCCUUGGAGAGACGGUACCAUACGAAUAAGCACCGGCUAACUCCGUGCCAGCAGCCGCGGUAAUACGGAGGGUGCAAGCGUUAUCCGGAAUCACUGGGGUUAAAGGGUACGUAGGCGGUUAAUUAAGUCAGUAGUGAAAGACUGUCGCUCAACGACGGAUGUGCUAUUGAUACUGGUUAACUUGAAUCAGGUUAGAGUUGGCGGAAUGGGUCAUGUAGCGGUGAAAUGCUUAGAUAUGACUUGGAACACCGAUAGCGAAGGCAGCUGACUGAGCCUUGAUUGACGCUGAGGUACGAAAGCGCGGGUAGCAAACAGGAUUAGAAACCCGGGUAGUCC